Pelobates cultripes (western spadefoot toad) is the source of this 505-nucleotide non-coding RNA. Lineage: Eukaryota; Metazoa; Chordata; Amphibia; Anura; Pelobatidae. The record is from the annotation of a GenBank genome assembly.
GCUUACCUAUCAGCGACUGUAUCUGCUUCAGCGUAACCUUGCGAGCCUGGCGGACGUCCGCCACCGCGCCACGCAGCCCCAGCAGUUUGUCCUGGGGCAAGCGACAUUCCCCGCAGGGAGUCGAUUUCCAGUCCCAGGAAGCAGAGGCACUCUGUGGGGCCUUCAGUCUUCCCUGCCUCUAGCGGUACCCCAAACACACACGCCACCCAUUCAACCAUCCACAGCAGGUAGCCGCAUACCUGAGAACCAGCCGGGCCCACACAGAGGAAGUCAUCCAAGUAGUGAACCACCGACCGAUGCCCGUAUUACUCCCUAACCACCCAUUCCAGGAAGGUGCUGAACUUCUCGAAGUAUGAGCACGAUAUUGAGCAGCCCAUCGGGAGACAAAGGUCCACGAAGUAGUGGCCCUCGAAAAAACACCCCAGCAAGUGGUGGCAUACCGGAUGCACAGGUAGCAACCGGAACGCCGCCUUGAUGUCCACCUUGGCCAUCAGCGCCCCCUGCC